AUUGAACGCUGGCGGAAUGCUUUACACAUGCAAGUCGAACGGCAGCACGGACUUCGGGCUGUUGGCGAGUGGCGAACGGGUGCGUAAUGUAUCGGAACGUGCCCAGACGUGGGGGAUAACGUAGUGAAAACUACGCUAAUACCGCAUACGAUCUAUGGAUGAAAGCGGGGGAUCGCAAGACCUCGCGCGAUUGGAGCGGCCGAUAUCAGAUUAGGUAGUUGGUGGGGUAAAGGCCCACCAAGCCCACGAUCUGUAGCUGGUCUGUGAGGACGACCAGCCACACUGGAACUGAGACACGGUCCAGACUCCUACGGGAGGCAGCAGUGGGGAAUUUUGGACAAUGGGCGAAAGCCUGAUCCAGCCAUUCCGCGUGCAGGAUGAAGGCCCUCGGGUUGUAAACUGCUUUUGUACAGAACGAAAAGGUUUCUACUAAUACUAGGAGCUCAUGACGGUACUGUAAGAAUAAGCACCGGCUAACUACGUGCCAGCAGCCGCCGCCG
This 500-nucleotide ribosomal RNA is filed under the name uncultured bacterium. Its description in RNAcentral is "partial 16S ribosomal RNA". It matches the Rfam family "Bacterial small subunit ribosomal RNA", at positions 30 to 523 of the family's 1533-position model. The record is from RNAcentral.